Molecule: ribosomal RNA, 253 nt
Filed under: uncultured bacterium
Lineage: Bacteria
Description: partial 16S ribosomal RNA
Rfam family: Bacterial small subunit ribosomal RNA
Source: RNAcentral
GACAGAGGGUGCAAACGUUGUUCGGAAUUACUGGGCGUAAAGCGCGUGUAGGUUGCUCCGCAAGUCGGAUGUGAAAGCCCUGGGCUCAACCUAGGAAGUGCAUUCGAAACUUCGGAGCUGGAGUCCUGGAGAGGAAGGCGGAAUUCUCGGUGUAGAGGUGAAAUUCGUAGAUAUCGAGAGGAAGACCAGUGGCGAAGGCGGGUCUCUGGACAGUUCCUGACGCUGAGGCACGAAGGUCAGGGGAGCAAACGGG